GUGAGGAAUUUUCCGCAAUGGGCGAAAGCCUGACGGAGCAAUGCCGCGUGAAGGAUGAAGGCCUAUGGGUUGUAAACUUCUUUUCUCAGAAAAGAAUUAUGACGGUAUCUGAGGAAUAAGCAUCGGCUAACUCUGUGCCAGCAGCCGCGGUAAGACAGAGGAUGCAAGCGUUAUCCGGAAUGAUUGGGCGUAAAGCGUCUGUAGGUUGUUUAAAAAGUAUUCUGUCAAAGAUUAGGGCUUAACCCUAGAUAGGCAGAAUAAACUUUUAAGCUAGAGUUUGGUAGAGGCAGAGGGAAUUCCCGGUGGAGCGGUGAAAUGCGUAGAUAACGGGAGGAACACCAAAGGCGAAGGCACUCUGCUGGGCCAAUACUAACACUGAGAGACGAAAGCGAGGGGAGCAAAUGGGAUUAGAAACCCCUGUAGUCC
This 426-nucleotide ribosomal RNA is filed under the name uncultured bacterium. Its description in RNAcentral is "partial 16S ribosomal RNA". It matches the Rfam family "Bacterial small subunit ribosomal RNA", at positions 354 to 796 of the family's 1533-position model. The record is from RNAcentral.